UUAACCUUUAUAUAUAAGAAAUAAUUUGAGCCGUCCCAUUACGACUAAAAUUCUAAUUAGAGUUUAUUUUCGACCCACAUACUUUAACCUACCACAUAAAAUUAAUUACAACACGUUAGGUGUAAAAUGCUCAAUUGAUCACUUAAUAAAUUUGGCCCAAACACAAAUAUUAUUAUGAGCCAUACAACUAACCUUUAAAAUCUGCAAUCCAAUCUGAAGCGCAUAUGAAAUAAUUAAUUAUUCCAACAAGAAAACCAUAGAUCACUCGUCUCAAGAUUCUUAGAUCUUCAAACUUGACAGGUUGAAGGAGAGAUCUGCUUGAAGCACAACCAUCUCUUCGCCUAAAGCACAAUUGCCUUCGUCCUUCUUAGCCAUUGCUUUCCUAUCGAAGGUUGCCCUCUUUCUUCUCUGUUGUCGCUUGCCAAUAGUGGGAGAGAUUCGUCUCAAGCACGUUCUUUUGCCCUAAAGCUUCAUCCAGUGCUUUUGUCCUCCUACACCGUGUUUUUACCGUAAAAAACCAAUUAUAUCAAGAAAGUUUAGCUGUAAAUUUAUCAUGUUCGUUUUGUAAUUUUAUAUCAUCGACUUUUAGACCUUAUCAUUGUUAUUUUAUGAUGGUAUUAACUGUGAUUUAGGUAUUUCAUGAAUUAAAUUUUUGA
Molecule: long non-coding RNA, 656 nt
Filed under: Olea europaea subsp. europaea
Lineage: Eukaryota; Viridiplantae; Streptophyta; Magnoliopsida; Lamiales; Oleaceae
Source: RNAcentral